Molecule: unclassified non-coding RNA, 1144 nt
Filed under: Hevea brasiliensis (rubber tree)
Lineage: Eukaryota; Viridiplantae; Streptophyta; Magnoliopsida; Malpighiales; Euphorbiaceae
Source: RNAcentral
CAAAAAAAAAAGUGAAAUAAGUUUUUCAAUUUCAAAGCAAACUACGCAACAAUGAUACAAGAUGUCAUGUCCAAGUUCAUCUAAAUAACUAACUGCAGCAGACACACAUAUCAAAGCAAUUGAAAAUCAUCAAGAAUACAUCAACAACUUCCACCAUUGAAUCCCACAAAAAUCAUAUUUUCACAAACCUACUUCAUUUCCUCUCUAGGAAGAUUACUUGUGAUUCUCAUCCUUCUUAGAAUGAAUUGCUUCAACAAGGGCCUCAAUCUCUUCCUUCACUCGUUCAAAUACACCUGGUCCUCUGACUUCACCGGUAGGGGUAUUCUCAUCAAUGUCAUCACUUGUUCCAUGCGUUUCUUUAUGAUGGCGUGGAAUGUGAAUUAUUGACUCAAUCUCUUCCUUGGCUCUUUCAAAUAUAUUUGGAGAUUUCACAUCUUUUUCUUCAAUAUCAAAACCAAAGGAAAAAAAAAAAAACACUCAGGACUCGGUAUUUCUGCUUCCAAAGUUCAAUUUGAGGGAUUGCUUACAAACUACUAGAGUGGAUGUCACAUCAACAACAUGGUUUUAAAAUAUCCUCAUUUCUUCAGGGAAAUAAAAUGUAGCAUCUUUAAACAUAGAAUAUAUCACUCAUUCUGUACGACAUUAAAGAAACUUCCAUAGAGGGGCAAAAACCCAAAUCAAAUAUCCACCUUGAUGGGUGAAAAGGAUUAAACCUUUUAGUUGUGUUGAAUUUCAGUGCACAUGUCAAUGCUCGAGGAGAAGAAAUCUCCCUCUCCAAUUUUUUUUCUUUGUUGGAUGCAGCAACAGUAAAUGAAUCGACCCAGAUGAAGGAUUAUAGCAACUAAAGACAAGGUGUAUGAUCUAUGCAAAGCUCAUGAACAAAUUAACGAAAGAGAUUAAAAGCAAGAACUAAAUAAAAUAGCUAUCUUCAAGAGAAUCAACGCAAUAGCAACAAAUGAAUCAUCUAUCGUUAACAUGUUCAUUGAAACAUUUAGAUACCUGAUGGGGACCUUGUUGGGUCUGGUUUUGAUUCUGCCAUUGAAAUCUGCCUGCUAAAAACCUCUACUUGUUUUUUCUCUGUAUCGGAUUCAGGAUUUGAUUAAGCUAAUCCGCCAAUCAGCAUUCAGCAGCGCCUUUGUUGGAA